This 588-nucleotide long non-coding RNA is filed under the name Gossypium raimondii (Peruvian cotton). Its description in RNAcentral is "long non-coding RNA (GRAI_LNC001888)". Lineage: Eukaryota; Viridiplantae; Streptophyta; Magnoliopsida; Malvales; Malvaceae. The record is from RNAcentral.
AGGCAAGUUUCUCAGAAAAAGAAUUUAAACUUCUUAUUCGAUUUAAUCAUCUAAAAUUGAAAGCAGUAAUCAAUAUAAAAACGAAGAGGGGUAUAGAAAAUAUUGCCUCUGUGAAUCAAUUAUGUUGUUACCUAUGGCAUUCGGAUCAGGCAAGUUUCUCAGAAAAAGAAUUUAAACUUCUUAUUCGAUUUAAUCAUCUAAAAUUGAAAGCAGUAAUCAAAAUAAAAAACAAGAGGGGUAUAGAAAAUAUUGCCUCUGUGAACUCAAUUAUGUUGUUACCUAUGGCAUUCGGAUGCUUUUCACCAAAUAUAUAUUGCCCGCAUGUAUUUAUGUUCAUUGUAUAUAUUGGCUAAUGUGUAUUCUGCUUACAACCGUUGGAGGAGAUUAAUGGUCCUCUCAUGGUCAUGAAAGUUUAACUGAAUAUUCUGCAGCCUGAUACGUAUGGAUGCCCUCAAUGUCAAGCACCAAAGAAGAGAUUUGCACCAUAUGAUGUAAAUACUGGCAAAGCUAUCGGCGGAGGGCUACCUCCAAUUGGGGUCAUUAUUGGGCUGCUGGCAGGUGUUGGAGCUGUUGGAGCAUUGCUUGUUU